UUCCUUUUGUAGUUCAUAGGCAUGAUGAUUGGAUUUUCACGCACCUGUCUGAGAUGUGCCUCCUUCGAACUUGUCACAAUAUCGGCACAUUACCCGUAUGAUG
Molecule: small nucleolar RNA, 103 nt
Organism: Lemur catta (Ring-tailed lemur)
Lineage: Eukaryota; Metazoa; Chordata; Mammalia; Primates; Lemuridae
Product: small nucleolar RNA U13
Exons: 1
Source: RefSeq, a predicted model, not a curated record